This 169-nucleotide ribosomal RNA is filed under the name Trichogramma minutum (minute egg parasite). RNAcentral describes it as "5.8S ribosomal RNA". It matches the Rfam family "5.8S ribosomal RNA". Rfam says of the family: 5.8S ribosomal RNA (5.8S rRNA) is a component of the large subunit of the eukaryotic ribosome. It is transcribed by RNA polymerase I as part of the 45S precursor that also contains 18S and 28S rRNA. Functionally, it is thought that 5.8S rRNA may be involved in ribosome translocation. Lineage: Eukaryota; Metazoa; Arthropoda; Insecta; Hymenoptera; Trichogrammatidae. The record is from RNAcentral.
AUGAUUACCCUGAACGGUGGAUCACUUGGCUCGUGGAUCGAUGAAGAACGCAGCUAAUUGCGCGUCAACUUGUGAACUGCAGGACACAUGAACAUCGACAUUUCGAACGCACAUUGCGGUCCACGGAUCUCGUUCCCGGACCACGCCUGGCUGAGGGUCGUUUAUAAAA